GGAAGAGCAAUGUAAACUAGAAAAGCCCUCUUAAUUUAUUUGAGAGCUAAGUGGUUUAUGUGUAAGCUGUUUCCAGAAGAUCUUCAUGGUGAUUCUGCUGAUAAACAUUUAAUAAGUCAGAUCCUGUGUUUUCCUUACUCAUACCUCAGUCAGUUUUGGGUAUAAAGACCAUAUUUGUGUAACUUACAUAUGGAGCACACAAGGCAGAGUGUGCGCUUCCACAAUAAGCCUCUUCUGUUUCAUAAAUUAUACUAGUGGAUAACUGAAGCAUGAGGCAUAAAAAUGGCAUGGAGCUCCUUAGCCAGCCUUAAGGAAGGUCUCAAAAGAGGAAGAGACAAUGAGUAGGAACCUUGGAGCCAGGUUUAAGCGCUUGACCAGC
RNAcentral lists this long non-coding RNA (379 nucleotides) under Bos taurus (domestic cattle). RNAcentral describes it as "long non-coding RNA NONBTAT002783". Lineage: Eukaryota; Metazoa; Chordata; Mammalia; Artiodactyla; Bovidae. The record is from RNAcentral.